AAUAGAUACCCGGGUAGUCCAUGCCGUAAACGAUGUCUACUAGCCGUUGGGGCCUUUGAGGCUUUAGUGGCGCAGCUAACGCGAUAAGUAGACCGCCUGGGGAGUACGGUCGCAAGACUAAAACUCAAAUGAAUUGACGGGGGCCCGCACAAGCGGUGGAGCAUGUGGUUUAAUUCGAUGCAACGCGAAGAACCUUACCUGGUCUUGACAUAGUAAGAACUUUCCAGAGAUGGAUUGGUGCCUUCGGGAACUUACAUACAGGUGCUGCAUGGCUGUCGUCAGCUCGUGUCGUGAGAUGUUGGGUUAAGUCCCGCAACGAGCGCAACCCUUUUCCUUAUUUGCCAGCGGGUUAAGCCGGGAACUUUAAGGAUACUGCCAGUGACAAACUGGAGGAAAGCGGGGACGACGUCAAGUCAUCAUGGCCCUUACGACCAGGGCUACACACGUGCUACAAUGGUCGGUACAAAGGGUUGCUACCUAGCGAUAGGAUGCUAAUCUCAAAAAGCCGAUCGUAGUCCGGAUUGGAGUCUGCAACUCGACUCC
Molecule: ribosomal RNA, 543 nt
Filed under: uncultured bacterium
Lineage: Bacteria
Description: bacterial SSU rRNA
Rfam family: Bacterial small subunit ribosomal RNA
Source: RNAcentral